RNAcentral lists this ribosomal RNA (1052 nucleotides) under Bacillus sp. NWBS10.5. Its description in RNAcentral is "bacterial SSU rRNA". It matches the Rfam family "Bacterial small subunit ribosomal RNA", at positions 230 to 1274 of the family's 1533-position model. The record is from RNAcentral. Lineage: Bacteria; Bacillati; Bacillota; Bacilli; Caryophanales; Bacillaceae.
CCCGCGGCGCAUUAGCUAGUUGGUGAGGUAACGGCUCACCAAGGCAACGAUGCGUAGCCGACCUGAGAGGGUGAUCGGCCACACUGGGACUGAGACACGGCCCAGACUCCUACGGGAGGCAGCAGUAGGGAAUCUUCCGCAAUGGACGAAAGUCUGACGGAGCAACGCCGCGUGAGUGAUGAAGGUUUUCGGAUCGUAAAGCUCUGUUGUUAGGGAAGAACAAGUGCCGUUCAAAUAGGGCGGCACCUUGACGGUACCUAACCAGAAAGCCACGGCUAACUACGUGCCAGCAGCCGCGGUAAUACGUAGGUGGCAAGCGUUGUCCGGAAUUAUUGGGCGUAAAGGGCUCGCAGGCGGUUUCUUAAGUCUGAUGUGAAAGCCCCCGGCUCAACCGGGGAGGGUCAUUGGAAACUGGGGAACUUGAGUGCAGAAGAGGAGAGUGGAAUUCCACGUGUAGCGGUGAAAUGCGUAGAGAUGUGGAGGAACACCAGUGGCGAAGGCGACUCUCUGGUCUGUAACUGACGCUGAGGAGCGAAAGCGUGGGGAGCGAACAGGAUUAGAUACCCUGGUAGUCCACGCCGUAAACGAUGAGUGCUAAGUGUUAGGGGGUUUCCGCCCCUUAGUGCUGCAGCUAACGCAUUAAGCACUCCGCCUGGGGAGUACGGUCGCAAGACUGAAACUCAAAGGAAUUGACGGGGGCCCGCACAAGCGGUGGAGCAUGUGGUUUAAUUCGAAGCAACGCGAAGAACCUUACCAGGUCUUGACAUCCUCUGACAAUCCUAGAGAUAGGACGUCCCCUUCGGGGGCAGAGUGACAGGUGGUGCAUGGUUGUCGUCAGCUCGUGUCGUGAGAUGUUGGGUUAAGUCCCGCAACGAGCGCAACCCUUGAUCUUAGUUGCCAGCAUUCAGUUGGGCACUCUAAGGUGACUGCCGGUGACAAACCGGAGGAAGGUGGGGAUGACGUCAAAUCAUCAUGCCCCUUAUGACCUGGGCUACACACGUGCUACAAUGGACAGAACAAAGGGCAGCGAAACCGCGAGGUUAAGCCAAUCC